GUUUGUACAAAAUAGCUACAAUACUAAUAAAAAUUUAUAUAUUUGAUACCAAAUAUUAAUGAAGAUAAAACUAAAAAUAAAUAUUGGUUUAUACCUAUGCUAAGAUGAGUAUUAUUAAUUUUUUUAAUAUGGAAUAAGCACCAUUUUCCGUUAAAUAAAGCGAUUUAGCUAUACUAAUUAAGUGAAAGGAACUCGGCAAAUAUACGCUCCGCCUGUUUAUCAAAAACAUGGCUCUUUGGUACCAAAAUAUAAAGAGUCAGACCUGCCCAGUGAAAUAUUUUAACGGCCGCGGUACUCUGACCGUGCAAAGGUAGCAUAAUCAUUUGCCUUAUAAUUGAAGGCUAGUAUGAAUGGUUUAACGUGAGCAAUACUGUCUCUCCUUUAUUUUCUAGAAAUUAACCUUUAGGUGAAGAGGCCUAAAUUUCAUUAAAGGACAAGAAGACCCUGUCGAGCUUAAAAGACAGUAAUAGGAGUCAAUAUCAUAGAAAUAAAUAGAUCUAUUUAGCUUUUUAGUUGGGGCGACUAAGGAACAAACAAAGCUUCUUUCAAUUCAGUAAGCCAGAUAGCAUUGAUCCAGUACAGUACUGAUCAAGAGAAUUAGUUACCGCAGGGAUAACAGCAUAAUCUCUCUUGAGAGACCUAAUCGAAAGGGGGGGUUGUGACCUCGAUGUUGGACUAGAAUAUCCGGAAGAUGCAGACGUCUUCAAAGGUUGGUCUGUUCGAC
RNAcentral lists this ribosomal RNA (724 nucleotides) under Tanganyicia rufofilosa. RNAcentral describes it as "partial 16S ribosomal RNA". It matches the Rfam family "Bacterial large subunit ribosomal RNA", at positions 1640 to 2585 of the family's 2925-position model. Lineage: Eukaryota; Metazoa; Mollusca; Gastropoda; Thiaridae. The record is from RNAcentral.